This 468-nucleotide ribosomal RNA is filed under the name uncultured bacterium. RNAcentral's name for it is "partial 16S ribosomal RNA". It matches the Rfam family "Bacterial small subunit ribosomal RNA", at positions 28 to 507 of the family's 1533-position model. The record is from RNAcentral.
GACGAACGCUGGCGGCGUGCUUAACACAUGCGAGUCGAACGGAAAGGCCCUGCUUUUGUGGGGUGCUCGAGUGGCGAACGGGUGAGUAACACGUGAGUAACCUGCCCUUGACUUUGGGAUAACUUCAGGAAACUGGGGCUAAUACCGGAUAGGAGCUCCUGCUGCAUGGUGGGGGUUGGAAAGUUUCGGCGGUUGGGGAUGGACUCGCGGCUUAUCAGCUUGUUGGUGGGGUAGUGGCUUACCAAGGCUUUGACGGGUAGCCGGCCUGAGAGGGUGACCGGCCACAAUGGGACUGAGGUACGGCCCAGACUCCUACGGGAGGCAGCAGUGGGGAAUAUUGCACAAUGGGCGGAAGCCUGAUGCAGCAACGCCGCGUGCGGGAUGACGGCCUUCGGGUUGUAAACCGCUUUCGCCUGUGACGAAGCGUGAGUGACGGUAAUGGGUAAAGAAGCACCGGCUAACUACGUG